This 301-nucleotide ribosomal RNA is filed under the name uncultured bacterium. Its description in RNAcentral is "partial 16S ribosomal RNA". It matches the Rfam family "Bacterial small subunit ribosomal RNA", at positions 509 to 809 of the family's 1533-position model. The record is from RNAcentral.
CAGCAGCCGCGGGAAUACAGAGGGUGCAAGCGUUAAUCGGAGUUAUUGGGCGUAAAGGGUGCGUAGGCGGCCCCGCAAGUCUCAUGUGAAAUCUUCAGGCUCAACUUGAAGUCUGCAUGGGAAACUGCGGGGCUGGAGUAUGGGAGAGGUGAGUGGAAUUCCUGGUGUAGCGGUGAAAUUCGUAGAUAUUCGGAGGAACACCAGUGGCGAAGGCGGCUCACUGGUCCAUUACUGACGCUCAUGUGCGAAAGCGUGGGGAGCAAACAGGAUUAGAUACCCCUGUAGUCCCUGUCUUUAUACA